RNAcentral lists this long non-coding RNA (741 nucleotides) under Mus pahari (shrew mouse). Its description in RNAcentral is "predicted gene, 26918 (MGP_PahariEiJ_G0002871.1)". Lineage: Eukaryota; Metazoa; Chordata; Mammalia; Rodentia; Muridae. The record is from RNAcentral.
AGAAUGUCAGGCUUUGUAGUUGCUGCUGAUGAAGAUGGGGUAUCUGUGAGUGUCUCUGACGUCUUCGGUUGCUUUGGUUCAACGUCUGCAACAGGGGCCUUGGCUUGUUCGGGGAAAAGGGAAGGACAAAAGUGAGGAAGGGAGGGAGGAAGGGGUGAAGAAAGGAAGAGAUUAAGACAACUCCCUGGCCUACCGUGACAGAGCAGGCCUCACGUGUGGACAACAAUGCUUUGGUUUCAGAGCCUGCACUGUUUCCUCCUGGAAUGCCUCGGAGUCUGAUAUCAAAUCAAAAGGGUUGAAUUUAUUUACGACAGAGGAGACAGCACUUAAAGGGUUAACAUCUGAGAAGAAACCAGGCAUCAUACUAGACUUGUAUUCUUCCUUAAAAUCAGUUCUGGACUUGGAUUCUUUCAAGCUAAUAGUGGACGGGCUUCUUCCAGGCAGCUUCUGCUCUGACCUGAACGUGUCCGUAGUUCUGCUUUUGCUGAGACCAGGCUGUGUGGGACGCCCAGGGUCCGGUGGCUUUCCCGGUUGCUGUGGAGCCUGACUACUAUCCAACUCAUGUUUCCUAGAAAAUGGAAAUAGUGUAAAUUAGUUCAAAUCAAACCAAUAUUUAAAACUAUUGCAUGUUUUUGUAACUCAAAUAUAUGUAGACAUAAUUUUUGUUGCAACCUGUAUUGCCUGUAAAACUUUUCUUGUCUGUUACUUUUACAUGGGUAGAUAGACAUGUUCGACAAACUA